UUGCAAGGACAGAGGAGCCUGGUGGGCUACAGGCCAUGGAGCUGUGAAGAGUUGGAGGUGACUGAGCACACACACAGACAUGACCGUGGAAUGUAUUGAAAGUUUCUGAUUAGUAUCAUCUUUGAACCCAGUGACGAUGGCCUCUACUCACAAGAAGCAAAUAAUCUAUUUUCUUAAAGUCUCCAAAUUUUAAAUAGUGAUAACAACUAAGAGAAUACACAAAGUAUAUUCUUAUUGUCAGUUGAUUGAAGCAGAUAGCUUGUGGCUUAGUAAUUCAAGAGGGUGUUAUUUCAGGCAUUGAUAGCCAGGAGAGGCUUUGGAGUCAUAGAGAUACUAGUUUGGGAUAUCAGAGAACCAGUAGAACUCAGAUCUGUAAAGAGAACUGGGCUUCAAAGCAGUAGGAGACUGAGUUUGGCAAAAAUGAUCGAUGCCCAAGAAAACAUAUCUGAAGAAUCUGGAUGUAGGGACUCCCCUGGUGGUCCAGUGGAUAGAAUCCACCUUGCAAUACAGAGGAUGCAGGUCCUUGGUCAGGGAACUGAGAUCUCAAUGCCACAGAACAACUUAGCCUGCGUACCACAACUACUGUGCCCACGCACCACAACUAGAGAGUCCAUGUGCCGCAAUAAAACGAUGCCACGUGAUGCAACACAGAUCCUGCCUGCCACAACUGAAACCCGACGCAGCCAAAUAAAUAAAUCGUGAAAGUGAAAAUGGUAGUCACUCAGUCGUGUCCAACUCCUUAUGACCCCAUGGACUGUAGCCCACCAGUCUCCUCUGUCCAUGGAAUUUUCCCAGGCAAGAAUACUAGAGUGAGUAGCCAUUCCCUUCUUCAGGGGGUCUUCCCCACCCAGGGAUCAAAUCUGAGUCUCCUGAGUUGGCAGGUGGGUUCUUUACCAGGGAAGCCCCAAUAAAUAAAUAACUAUUUUUGAAAAAGGAUCUGGACAUAAACAGCCAUUAAUCUUUAAAUUCUAAGAUAGCAGAGGCUGUUCUGAAGCCAUUUUUAAAAAUCAUCAUGCUUAUUUGUAUGUAUUACCUGAAACUGGUCUAGUGCCUUCAUUUCUCCUCUAGUAUCUCAAAGAACAGAAAAAGAGAGCUUCUGCUUCGUCCUUGAAAUGGUUAACUUCCUGUGCUUCUCUAGUUAAAAAGGAAUAACUCUCUAAA
Molecule: long non-coding RNA, 1161 nt
Organism: Bos taurus (domestic cattle)
Lineage: Eukaryota; Metazoa; Chordata; Mammalia; Artiodactyla; Bovidae
Source: Ensembl